UACGGGGGGAGCAAGCGUUGUUCGGAUUUACUGGGCGUAAAGGGCGCGUAGGCGGCGUGACAAGUCACUUGUGAAAUCUCCGGGCUUAACUCGGAACGGUCAAGUGAUACUGUCGUGCUAGAGUCCGGAAGAGGCGAGUGGAACUCCUGGUGUAGCGGUGAAAUGCGCAGAUAUCAGGAGGAACACCAAUGGCGAAGGCAGCUCGCUGGGACGGUACUGACGCUGAGGCGCGAAAGCGUGGGGAGCAAACAGG
RNAcentral lists this ribosomal RNA (253 nucleotides) under uncultured bacterium. Its description in RNAcentral is "partial 16S ribosomal RNA". It matches the Rfam family "Bacterial small subunit ribosomal RNA", at positions 524 to 776 of the family's 1533-position model. The record is from RNAcentral.